This 517-nucleotide ribosomal RNA is filed under the name uncultured bacterium. RNAcentral's name for it is "bacterial SSU rRNA". It matches the Rfam family "Bacterial small subunit ribosomal RNA", at positions 28 to 526 of the family's 1533-position model. The record is from RNAcentral.
GACGAACGCUGGCGGCGUGCCUAACACAUGCAAGUCGAACGGAGAUUUCAGCAAUGAAGUCUUAGUGGCGAACGGGUGAGUAACGCGUAGACAACCUACCUUCUAGAUGGGGACAACACUGCGAAAGUGGUGCUAAUACCGAAUGUUGUAUUAAGGGUGCAUAUCCUAAAUACUAAAGGUGGCCUCUGAACAUGCUACCACUAGAAGAUGGGUCUGCGUCUGAUUAGCUAGUUGGUGAGGUAAUGGCUCACCAAGGCGACGAUCAGUAGCCGGUCUGAGAGGAUGAACGGCCACACUGGGACUGAGACACGGCCCAGACUCCUACGGGAGGCAGCAGUGGGGAAUCUUCCGCAAUGGACGAAAGUCUGACGGAGCAACGCCGCGUGAGUGAAGAAGGUUUUCGGAUCGUAAAACUCUGUUUUCAGGGAAGAAUGUGCUGAUCGUGAAUAAUGGUUGGUAAUGACGGUACCUGACAAGAAAGCCACGGCUAACUACGUGCCAGCCGCCGCCGUAAAAC